AUUUAUUUGUUUUAUUAGUGGGUAUAGCACUGAAUAUCUAAUAAUGUUUAUUAUUAGAAAGGAGUAUGAAAGUACUUACUUUGGAUAUUUAAUCUCAGAAUAACUAAUAGAAUAAGGAAUAAGUUAUCAGACUUAUUGCGAUAAGGUGGUAAGUCGAAAGGGGAACAGCCCAGAAUAAUGUAUAAAGUUCCGAAAUUGUUACUCAGUGAAAAAAAAG
RNAcentral lists this ribosomal RNA (217 nucleotides) under Pneumocystis carinii. RNAcentral describes it as "partial large subunit ribosomal RNA". It matches the Rfam family "Bacterial large subunit ribosomal RNA", at positions 881 to 1074 of the family's 2925-position model. The record is from RNAcentral. Lineage: Eukaryota; Fungi; Ascomycota; Pneumocystomycetes; Pneumocystales; Pneumocystaceae.